UGCCUCAGUGUUUCCCAGCAGACUGAAGGCUUCCAUAUGGUCAGUUUCUAAGAAGUUAAUGCUUCUGGGUGGAAAAACAUCAACUUCCCUGAUGACUGCAGACUGAUACAAUGCUCAGGGCAAGCAGAGCUACCAUGAAAGGCAUAUAAGACAAAAAGGUACCUGGUCUCAGAAGAGAAGAUGAUUUACAUCUCCCAGAAGAUUGUCGCUGUUCCUUUUCUGUUUUCCAUUUAGAGGGAAAGAUAAAACUGCUCAUGAGUCAUGAGAUGGCCCCUUCCUUUACUGCUUGUCUCUGUGGUGUGUGCUCCCUAGCCAUCUCGCCUUCAACAUCAGAGAAAGGCCUUUAAUUUUGCACACUCUCUCUCAUUUUAUUGAAAUUACUAGCUUCUAUUCCAAUUAUAUUAUCACACUGUGUUAUCUUGUGUGCCACUAUCAUAUUUGGUAAAUUAGUUUUCUCCCUUAACUUGUUGCCACGUUUUGUUUUUAGGCCCAUCUCCCUACCUUUUCCCUUUUUUUUCCUUUCCUGAGGCAUAGGUUGGUGAGUCCCUCUGCCCCACCGGUUACAGAACUGGGCUGACCCAACCCAAAAUCACUGACAAUUUGUUUCUUGAAGAUGUUACUGCUUUUUUUUUUACUUCUUCCCUUAUCAGUCUCUUCUUUGCAUUUUCUGAUCCAUUCUUUUUAGUUUACUGGGUCUCAUAGAUAUUUGCAUCCUUGAGUUAAAAACAACAGAGAGAUACAUUUGAAAACUAAGAUUCCUUCAGUUGUUUUGCUAUUACAUUGUGUGUUGACCACUUGCAGAAGCAGGGACAGAUAGAGUCUCUUCCUCUACUCUAAGGGACUGAUAGAUCAGACUUGGAAAUGUUGGGGCUCCUUAACAGUUAUGAGAGGCUGAGGAAAAUGGACUGGAAGAACUGCGGUACAUGAAAACGUAAGGUAGAGAUGGAUCCAGAAGUACAUCUGCGGUAGGAUUUCUUCUCUUCUUCCAAAUACUGAUUCAGGUCUCAGUCACUUGCAGUUCAAUUUCCCUAAAACACUAUAACAGCAAAAUAGCUGAUGGUAUAAUUACUGCUGUGAAGAGAAGCAGGAAAUUAAAAUGAACUCCACCCAUGCCAACUCAGAGAUUAACACAGAGAAGCAUACGGCACACUACAUGACUAUGAAAAAUAAGACCUUUCAAAAGCAAUUGAAACCUGACAAGAAUAUUGAUGGCUCCUUUUUUUUUUUUUUUCCCCUUAUGCAGCUGAAUGUUUCUGAUCUUGUAAAUGUAAUGAGACAAUAAAAAAAUGCCUGGAAAUUUCCAUUUAUUAGAUUUUCAAACAGAUAAACUACAUAUUUUCCUGGAGCAUCUUCACUCUAAAAGUGUCCAAAGGGUAAUGAGUGCAGAUCACUUAUUAUGAAGUGGUAACUUUGAAAAUGUUCCAGGAACAAAAUCUGGCUUACUGGCCACCCAGACUCUCAAAAUACUGCUGUUCUCAAGUAAUUUUGGAAUCAUGUGGAUAGCCUGAGCCCUAUCUUUUGCUGCUCUAUCCCAUCACAGUGUGCUACCACUGAGAACACAGCAUUAUCUGCCAAAGAUGUAGCAUUACCAGGGGCAUGGUCCAUUCUUCCCACAACACUGUGGAAAAGAAAAGUCCUCAACAACACAGCAUGGUCUUGUAAAGACUAUAGUGCUGCUAUAUUAGGCCUGGAAAUGUUUAGGAAAACGUGUAUUAUUUAUCUUGUUCUUAAGUCAUUUGUGGUAUGAAAAGUGUGCUGUGGUGUCUUUGUGUUGUAUCUGAGAAAUCAAGAGCAUUAAUAUUCAAGGUACAGGAAACAGCGGUAUCUUUGAUCCGUCUAUGUGGUAACUGUUGUCAGAUGUGAAUAGUGAUGCGUAAGAAGAACUGGUCAGAAAAUUAUGAGGGGAAUCAUGUUAAAAAUGUAUCAGUCACCUUCCUUUAGGAUUAUCAGCUCACUCACAGAACUCCAGAAGCAUCCUAAUACAUGAUUAGAGGCCCUACAUAUGCUCUGUCAUACAGCCUGAAAGGCAGGAGUCACCAGUGUCACAGCAAAGGUGAAGGACCUUUUGCACUACUAUUGCUGUAGCUGAGAUGACCAAAUGUGCUCUUGCUAGAGACUGGCUCACUCAAGCACUUUGUUCCUUUAGGGUUUUGGGUCUGAGUUCUGCUAUGAAGGCCUUGGAUAUAAAUGAUACAGAGCCCUUUCACAAUACAGCAUCUCUACAGCUAUCUGAAUCAGAAAACAAGGAAAAAUUGUUGCCUUGAUUUAAAAUAAGACCUUUUUGUAUUUAUGGCUUUUCCCACUGUUCUCAGCAAGGUGAUUUAAGGCUUUGUCUGUUCUGAGGGCUGUGUGCUGGAUUCCCAACUGGAUCGGCAAAACACCUACUUCAACAUGUUUUAGCUCCAUUCUUUGUGAACUCAAAACCGAAAGCCUUUUUAAGAAGAUAACUUCCAAGAUGAAUUGGUCUGUUAACCUCCUCUCCCUCCCACCACUCUGACUGCAACUUGCAUUUACGGGCUUCAGCAAUCACAUUUGCUCUCUCAUCUAACCUUCUGCUCCCACCUCCUGACCUUCUGACAGAUUUACAGACCUGCCUGGAAAGAGAUGCAAGGCUGAUUCCUGAAGGGCUGCUCAUCUGGACAGCCCUCAUUCAGGAUCCCUGAUAAGAAAAAUAUCUGCACAGAAAGAGGAAUGGGGGAAGCUCAUUUGGUUUAGGGCUUGUGUAAAGGAAACCCUUGUAGGGAAAUGCAUUCAAAGAUUACUAAAAAUGGAUUUACAGAAAACCUUACCACCAUUAAAAGCACACUCAAAGGAAAUCCUCAUUGUCCUGAGUGCUGUUACAGAGUAAACACUGUAUGUUAAACCUGAGCUGUGAAGAGAGGGUGUCCUGUGUUAUUUGCUGAAGAAUGGCUGAGACACAGACCAGGCACAUCAGACCUUUCCUGCUUCAGUGUUCUGCAGACUGGCCAGGGGAAGUGUAAGAAAGCAUGCAGUAAGAAUCUCCAGAGGUAGGGCUUGCUGAGGCACUGCACUAGAGAGGUAGAGUUGCGCUUCUGAGCAUUUGCCCCAAGCAAUGAGACUGUACAACUGCAACCCUGUUUACUCCUUAGCUUCUACCUGCACGGCGUCAGGGUGGAAGCACUCCACCUCUUCCUCUCGAAAGCAGCAGAGGCGUCAGCUUGAGGUUACUGGUAAAACACCCACGACAAGAUAAACCCUCCAUAUCAUCUACUCCUUUUACUUGCAAGAAAGAAAAAGCAGGGUGCGUUAUUCUUCCCUGCUGUUUGAUAGUAGCGUUUCUGGUAGGAAUGGUCUUCACAUUUCAUUUUGCAGAUGGUUGCUCCAAAGGGACUUCUGAGUCUGUAUCUUGUCUUUCUGUUUAGACUGCUGCAAGACUUGUCUGGGCUUAUCUUGAGCAAGUCCCCUUGCAGACUGCACGCAGUAGAGCUCAAUUGGGUGGAUCUUGUGACCAUUGCUGGAGUUUCCUUCAAGUAAUUUUCAUUCUAGUUAGUAGCUCUCAUCAUCUUUCUUCCAAAACCUAUAAAAUAUCAGAGGGAACUGCAGCAAGUAGAAUCUGCAGUUCCUUUAUAUGAUUAUUUGUACUGUAGGAACAAAAGAAAUAAUAGACCUUUACACUAGAAGUAGAGCCUUUGGAAAAAGAACAUUAAGGCUUAGAUACGUAUUGUCUUCAGAAAGUAACACUGGGUGUGAUGUGUUUGGCUACGGGUUAUUAUUUGAUAUGCCCUAAUUUCAGCUUCUGGCCUCUCACUCUAUAGACAUAUUGAUGCUCAGUGCUUUGUGACUCAGCCUAACAACAAUGCUUUUGUUACCAAAUUAUAACAAUAUUGGGUCAAUCCUGCAAGAGGAUGUUAUUAUUCAGUACACGGAGGCUAAGUUUCAGACUGAAAAAGCAGCUCAAUUCACUCCAGAAAGCCAUUAACUAGUGCUACCCUUAAUAACAAUUACUUAAUGCUUGUACUCAUGAAAGAACUGAAAAGAUUUGUUUUAUUCUUAUAGAAAACUGAAGCUGUGUUCACAACUGGGAUAAGACACAGACAUUCACUGAAGCCAACACAGCUUGUUUCAGCACCUGAGUCUGGUCCUGUGACAUCCUUUUCUCAGAACUUUUAAGCCUAAAAACUCUUCCCUCUUUAGAAGUUGGACAUGUGCUAAGCAGAAAACAAAGUAUUCUUAUGUUUGCAAGAGUACUAAAUGAAUAGAAAUGGUAUCACAAGCUGGGAUGAUAAACAGAUUGAAAAAUAUUUUGAUGUCGGUAAUACCUCUAACUCCAUAAAUCUUGUUGCAU
Molecule: long non-coding RNA, 4306 nt
Organism: Coturnix japonica (Japanese quail)
Lineage: Eukaryota; Metazoa; Chordata; Aves; Galliformes; Phasianidae
Source: RefSeq, a predicted model, not a curated record